UGAGGAAUAUUGGACAAUGGGCGCAAGCCUGAUCCAGCCAUGCCGCGUGCAGGAAGAAGCAUCUCUGGUGUGUAAACUGCUUUUGUACGGGAAGAAACACUCCUUCGUGAAGGAGCUUGACGGUACCGUAAGAAUAAGGAUCGGCUCACUCCGUGCCAGCAGCCGCGGUAAUACGGAGGAUCCAAGCGUUAUCCGGAAUCAUUGGGUUUAAAGGGUCCGUAGGCGGUUUAGUAAGUCAGUGGUGAAAGCCCAUCGCUCAACGGUGGAACGGCCCUUGAUACUGCUAGACUUGAAUUAUUAGGAAGUAACUAGAAUAUGUAGUGUAGCGGUGAAAGGCUGAGAUAUUACAGGGAAUACCAAUUGCGAAGGCAGGUUACUACUAAUGGAUUGACGCUGAUGGACGAAAGCGUGGGGAGCGAACA
This 422-nucleotide ribosomal RNA is filed under the name uncultured bacterium. Its description in RNAcentral is "bacterial SSU rRNA". It matches the Rfam family "Bacterial small subunit ribosomal RNA", at positions 355 to 774 of the family's 1533-position model. The record is from RNAcentral.